AAAAGAUACAAAGACAAAGACUCAUAUGGACUUCGGCUACACCAUCAAAGCUUUGAGAUGGAAGAAGAAGCUUGGUUACUGUUUUGGAGUCAAAUAUGACUAAAUGUCAUGUGUAUGAGUGAGUUUAAAAACUAGAAUCGCAACCAGAUCUUAAAAGCCUAAGUAUUAUAUCCUUGUUAGAGGAUACAAAGACAAAGACUCAUACGGACUUCGGCUACACCAUCAAAGCUUUGAGAAGCAAGAAGAAGCUUGGUUAGUGUUUUGGAGUCGAAUAUGACUUGAUGUGAUGUGUAUGAUUAAGUAUAAGAAUUU
RNAcentral lists this small RNA (312 nucleotides) under Arabidopsis thaliana (thale cress). Its description in RNAcentral is "ATSL268380". Lineage: Eukaryota; Viridiplantae; Streptophyta; Magnoliopsida; Brassicales; Brassicaceae. The record is from RNAcentral.